CAGUGGGUGCAAGUCUCACCCGGCGACCGCUCCAGCGGGAAGCAAUCGGGGCAGGCAUGGAGGAGAUGACAUGUUUGAAGCCUUCGAUUUAGCGGGUCACGAAAUUGGUGCCCGCGCGAGUGUGCAGGCCGCAACGCGA
Molecule: non-coding RNA, 139 nt
Filed under: Sinorhizobium americanum
Lineage: Bacteria; Pseudomonadati; Pseudomonadota; Alphaproteobacteria; Hyphomicrobiales; Rhizobiaceae
Source: RNAcentral